Molecule: ribosomal RNA, 367 nt
Filed under: uncultured Fusibacter sp.
Lineage: Bacteria; Bacillati; Bacillota; Clostridia; Eubacteriales; Fusibacteraceae
Description: bacterial SSU rRNA
Rfam family: Bacterial small subunit ribosomal RNA
Source: RNAcentral
CCUUCGGGUACAAUUGAGACAGGUGGUGCAUGGUUGUCGUCAGCUCGUGUCGUGAGAUGUUGGGUUAAGUCCCGCAACGAGCGCAACCCUUGUGUUUAGUUGCAAACAGGUCAAGCUGUGCACUCUAGACAGACUGCCGUGGACAACACGGAGGAAGGUGGGGAUGACGUCAAAUCAUCAUGCCCCUUAUGAUCUGGGCUACACACGUGCUACAAUGGCCGGUACAACGGGCAGCGAAGGAGCGAUCCGGAGCGAAUCCUAAAAAGCCGGUCCCAGUUCGGAUUGCAGGCUGAAACUCGCCUACAUGAAGUUGGAGUUGCUAGUAAUCGCGAAUCAGAAUGUCGCGGUGAAUGCGUUCCCGGGUCUU